This 800-nucleotide ribosomal RNA is filed under the name uncultured bacterium. RNAcentral's name for it is "bacterial SSU rRNA". It matches the Rfam family "Bacterial small subunit ribosomal RNA", at positions 8 to 802 of the family's 1533-position model. The record is from RNAcentral.
AGAGUUUGAUCAUGGCUCAGAACGAACGCUGGCGGCGCGCCUAAUACAUGCAAGUCGAGCGAGAAGGUGUAGCAAUACACUUGUGAAGCGGCGAACGGGUGAGGAAUACAUGGGUAAUCUACCAUCGAGUGGGGAAUAACCAACCGAAAGGUUGGCUAAUACCGCGUACGCCUCCGAGUCUUCGGGUUCGGAGGGAAAGCUGCACUGUGAGUGUAGCGCUCUUUGAUGAGCUCAUGUCCUAUCAGCUUGUUGGUAGGGUAACGGCCUACCAAGGCUUUGACGGGUAGCUGGUCUGAGAGGACGAUCAGCCACACUGGCACUGCGACACGGGCCAGACUCCUACGGGAGGCAGCAGUAAGGAAUAUUGCGCAAUGGGCGAAAGCCUGACGCAGCGACGCCGCGUGGGGGAUGAAGGUCUUCGGAUUGUAAACCCCUUUCGGGAGGGAAGAUGGAGCGAGCAAUCGUUCGGACGGUACCUCCAGAAGCAGCCACGGCCAACUUCGUGCCAGCAGCCGCGGUAAUACGAAGGUGGCAAGCGUUGUUCGGAUUCACUGGGCGUACAGGGUGUGUAGGCGGUUUGGUAAGCCUUCUGUUAAAGCUUCGGGCCCAACCCGGAAAGCGCAGAGGGUACUGCCAGGCUAGAGGGUGGGAGAGGAGCGCGGAAUUCCCGGUGUAGCGGUGAAAUGCGUAGAGAUCGGGAGGAAGGCCGGUGGCGAAGGCGGCGCUCUGGAACAUACCUGACGCUGAGACACGAAAGCGUGGGGAGCAAACAGGAUUAGAUACCCUGGUAGUCCACGCCC